GACGAACGCUGGCGGCGUGCUUAACACAUGCAAGUCGAACGGAAAGGCCCUGCUUUUGUGGGGUGCUCGAGUGGCGAACGGGUGAGUAACACGUGAGUAACCUGCCCUUGACUUUGGGAUAACUUCAGGAAACUGGGGCUAAUACCGGAUAGGAGCUCCUGCUGCAUGGUGGGGGUUGGAAAGUUUCGGCGGUUGGGGAUGGACUCGCGGCUUAUCAGCUUGUUGGUGGGGUAGUGGCUUACCAAGGCUUUGACGGGUAGCCGGCCUGAGAGGGUGACCGGCCACAUUGCGACUGAGAUACGGACCAGACUCCUACGUGAGGCAGCAGUGGGGAAUAUUGCACAAUGGGAGGAAGCCUGAUGCAGCGACGCCGCGUGCGGGAUGACGGCCUUCGGGUUGUAAACCGCUUUCGCCUGUGACGAAGCGUGAGUGACGGUAAUGGGUAAAGAAGCACCGGCUAACUACGUG
Molecule: ribosomal RNA, 468 nt
Filed under: uncultured bacterium
Lineage: Bacteria
Description: partial 16S ribosomal RNA
Rfam family: Bacterial small subunit ribosomal RNA
Source: RNAcentral